CCUACGGGAGGCAGCAGUGGGGAAUAUUGGACAAUGGGGGAACCCUGAUCCAGCCAUGCCGCGUGUGUGAAGAAGGCCCUCGGGUUGUAAAGCACUUUCAGUGAGGAAGAACGCCUGGUGGUUAAUACCCAUCAGGAAAGACAUCACUCACAGAAGAAGCACCGGCUAACUCCGUGCCAGCAGCCGCGGUAAUACGGAGGGUGCGAGCGUUAAUCGGAAUUACUGGGCGUAAAGCGCGCGUAGGUGGCUUGAUAAGCCGGUUGUGAAAGCCCCGGGCUCAACCUGGGAACGGCAUCCGGAACUGUCAAGCUAGAGUGCAGGAGAGGAAGGUAGAAUUCCCGGUGUAGCGGUGAAAUGCGUAGAGAUCGGGAGGAAUACCAGUGGCGAAGGCGGCCUUCUGGACUGACACUGACACUGAGGUGCGAAAGCGUGGGUAGCAAACAGGAUUAGAUACCCCGGUAGUC
RNAcentral lists this ribosomal RNA (464 nucleotides) under Vreelandella stevensii. Its description in RNAcentral is "partial 16S ribosomal RNA". It matches the Rfam family "Bacterial small subunit ribosomal RNA", at positions 338 to 795 of the family's 1533-position model. The record is from RNAcentral. Lineage: Bacteria; Pseudomonadati; Pseudomonadota; Gammaproteobacteria; Oceanospirillales; Halomonadaceae.